Molecule: long non-coding RNA, 569 nt
Organism: Cydia fagiglandana
Lineage: Eukaryota; Metazoa; Arthropoda; Insecta; Lepidoptera; Tortricidae
Exons: 3
Source: RefSeq, a predicted model, not a curated record
CGGCGCCAAGUACACCGCCGCGAGGAAGUGAGGGGUGCCCGUAGUCCGGGCUAGCUGGCUGCUGGCCUGCGCCGAGAGGGGGGUUAGGGUGGACGAGGCGGAGCAUUCCGUAGACCAAGAGGCUGCAGAUCCAUCUCACGUUCAGCAGAACGCACUAAACGCACCACCACAGACACCUGAACCGAAAAAGAAUAUCUCUCAACCCGAAGAAAGAACAACAGAACCACAAACCAAAAUAACCGAACCGAAACCGAAAACACCGGAACCGGAAAUAAUAGAAACGAGAGCCACAACCCCAGAACCGAAAAGAAAACCGAAGAGUAAGACACCCGAGCCUCAAGAUUUAGAUGCAAAUAUGGUUGACGUUGAACAGAUGUUGCCUUCAGAUGUUGGUACUGCCGUGUCGCCGCGGCAGACCAAGAAGAAGUUUAAGAUCAAUACUAACAAAAACGAACAAUUUGAGGGGAUGUCCCCCGCGUCACGGUUCAUAGCCAUGCGUCGUAUGGGUAUGUUCAGCGACCACGAGGACAGCUCGAAGGAAAACACGCCGAAGAGACCCGACAACGAGU